This is a long non-coding RNA of Aethina tumida (small hive beetle), 933 nucleotides long. RefSeq lists it as uncharacterized. NCBI's taxonomy places the organism in Eukaryota, Metazoa, Arthropoda, Insecta, Coleoptera, Nitidulidae. The transcript is spliced from 3 exons. The record is from RefSeq and is a predicted model, not a curated record.
UGAAUUUAUAGUACACAAUUUCUUCGCUAGUGUUGGCAACUUUUAGGUUGAUAAUAUCAAAAGUUACUAAAAAGUUACCAGAAAAAUUUCAACAAUUUAUCGACCAAUUAAAAAUUGGACAAGAAAAACCAAUUUCUGUAUUACACGUAGCAAUAAAUUGAAUAAAUUGGGUAAUAAAUUGGCGUGUGCUAAACAACUAUUACGUAUCAGUAGUCCCGUAUAAAAACUGAUAAUUAUCUCGUUAAUUACUAAAACCACCACAACGGUUCAAAGGAAACAUAAAAAAUAUAUAAUGGACUAUUUGGAAUAAAAUUAUGGGGUGAUAUUCACAAGAAAAAGAACUGAUGGUCGCCCCCAGGUGCGAAGAAGUUUGUUAACCUAGUUUCUCGUGUGGGAAGGAGAUCUUCCAAAACUUCUGUUCCAUGUACCGGAACGAGGCGACUCCGUGAAGUAAAACGUCUAAUAAUUUGAUAAUUUACAAGGAAAAUUCUCCCUUUAUUAAUAUACCUAUGACUUUGAAAGAGACAAGUUUAUUAUUACACCCAAACUGUUUGUGGGAUAUUAACGUGGGAGAAGAUGGAACUUAUUGAACCAGCACUAAAUAUAAAUCAAUACUAUUAUAAUAGUAAUAUUAUAGAAAAAGCUUAAAUGAAAGGUAAAUUACAAGAUACUAAAAUUUAAACAAUUAAAAGAGAAUCACAACAAUUAUCUGGAGCAAAUGUUAUCAACGAUAUAUUAAAACAAACAUAAAUUGACAAUCAGUCAAUAAAACAAAUCAAUAUCUUGUAUUGAUGUGCAAAGAAAACAUCUCGUGUUUUUCACACAAAUAAAACGUUAUAAAAGUUCAAUUAUCUAGAACCGAUUUGCUGCACAUCGAUCGAUUUGAAAUUUGUUGUAAUCAAUUCCAAAAUAAUAAUAAUCAUUAAAAUUAUG